GAUUCUGAGGCCUCCCCAGCCAUGUGGAACUCUUGUGUUGUGUUUUUAAUGGGAGAGUUGGUCAGCGUCUGCUAGAACAGAGCUACGUCUAUGGAACCGUAGACUUGUUCGUGCUUUAUUGCAAUACUUUAAAGACACAAAGUCUCAACAACCAUCUUCCGCUUGACGAGACAGAUCAUUCUAAUUUGAGCAGAAGCUACUAUGUCCUGCCCUUUGAACGCGGCGGCCCGGAAAGCUGACAAGGACACACUGUGUAUUUCCAUUCCAAUUCUGGGAGUGCUCUGAGGCCUCUGGGGGAGAAGGACCCAUGAAAUAUUCAAAACAUAAGUGAAUAAAAUAUCUAGGUGCUAGAUAUGGGCCAGGAAGAGCCCUUGGCCCUGCAAAGUGUGUGUGAUGGUGAGAAGCUACCAGAAGAGAUGGUCCCUGUUCUUGGUUCAUUCCUUGGACAUUUAUCAAGCUGACGAAUGUAGCAGAGGUGCUUCAGUCGGCUGUAAUUCCACAGGUGGAGUGCUGGCUGGAGAGUUACCUGGGGCUGUCACACUGCAUGGGCUCCGGGACACUGUGGCUGCCCUUAUGUGGUGUCCCCAGAGGGCCCUGCAGGUGUCACACCGCUGCUCCACACUGCCACCUGCUGUCAGCACCUGUGCAACGUAUCCAGGUCUCUGGGGGCUAGAAUGAAAAACAUGCAUCUCGUAACCAAUGAAAUCAGGCUUGUCCUGAAGACCUCGUGCAUUCAUCCAUUCUCACACUGCUAUAAAGACAUACCUAAGACUGGGCACUUCAUGAAGAAAAGAGGUUUAAUUGGCUCACAGUUCUGCAGG
Molecule: long non-coding RNA, 821 nt
Filed under: Pan troglodytes (chimpanzee)
Lineage: Eukaryota; Metazoa; Chordata; Mammalia; Primates; Hominidae
Description: lincRNA
Source: RNAcentral